UCUGGCGCCUUGGGGGAUAGGUUGAGGUCUGAACUUUUUCAAAAUAAAGUUGGUUGUGGCGAAGAGAUUUAUAAAAAUGCGAGUCCCAGAUGCCAUUUUCAGAUAUUCUAAUUGGGCAAUUCUGGGCGAAUCCUGUGACUCUGAAUUUUUCAAUUUCCCUCUGUUCUGUUGCACAAAGUUGAAUACCAUGGAUCUAAUCCAACUUUAGACUUUCCCUCACGCCCAUUUCACAGAGGAAAACACUGAGGACCCAAGAAGCCAAGGGCAGCAACCACAUCCCAGCUUCCAACACAUUCUAACAGCCUGCCAGAUGGGUAGACCUGACAGACACCUCGGAGACACAUCCUAGGUCACCCACCGUGAGGACACCCGCAUCCACAGGGAAGCCCCCAGCCGCUGACCACACCGCACCUUUCUCUCUCUCGGGCCGACAUGCUCUUCUGAGUGUGAGCUUUUAAAUUCUGCUCAAUAAACCUCUGUUUGCCUCUCACUGAUGCGUCCUGAAAAUUCUUUUUUCCUUUUCUUUUUUUUUGGUACCGGGGAUCGAACUCGGGUCCUUGCGCUUGCGAAGCAGGUGGAGGAGCCACUGAGCUAAAUCCCCAGCCCCCGAAAAUUCUUUUCUCUAUGAUGGAAGUCAGCGAACCCACAAUCUGCCCCGUGGGCAGGGUGAGUCGAGGUUCCCCAUCUCCUCUUUG
RNAcentral lists this long non-coding RNA (695 nucleotides) under Heterocephalus glaber (naked mole-rat). Its description in RNAcentral is "lncRNA (ENSHGLG00100052380.1)". The record is from RNAcentral. Lineage: Eukaryota; Metazoa; Chordata; Mammalia; Rodentia; Bathyergidae.